Molecule: ribosomal RNA, 499 nt
Filed under: uncultured bacterium
Lineage: Bacteria
Description: partial 16S ribosomal RNA
Rfam family: Bacterial small subunit ribosomal RNA
Source: RNAcentral
GACGAACGCUGGCGGCGUGCCUAAUACAUGCAAGUCGAGCGGACUGAAUGGGAGCUUGCUCUUGUUCGGUCAGCGGCGGACGGGUGAGUAACACGUGGGCAACCUGCCCGCAAGACCGGGAUAACUCCGGGAAACCGGAGCUAAUACCGGAUAACACCGAAGACCGCAUGGUCUUUGGUUGAAAGGCGGCGCAAGCUGCCACUUGCGGAUGGGCCCGCGGCGCAUUAGCUAGUUGGUGAGGAAACGGCUCACCAAGGCGACGAUGCGUAGCCGGCCUGAGAGGGUGACCGGCCACACUGGGACUGAGACACGGCCCAGACUCCUACGGGAGGCAGCAGUAGGGAAUCUUCCGCAAUGGGCGAAAGCCUGACGGAGCGACGCCGCGUGAGCGAAGAAGGCCUUCGGGUCGUAAAGCUCUGUUGUGAGGGACGAAGGAGCGCCGUUUGAAGAAGGCGGCGCGGUGACGGUACCUCACGAGGAAGCCCCGGCUAACUACGUG